This 60-nucleotide transfer RNA is filed under the name Hyalella tiwanaku. Its description in RNAcentral is "tRNA-Gln". Lineage: Eukaryota; Metazoa; Arthropoda; Malacostraca; Amphipoda; Hyalellidae. The record is from RNAcentral.
UUUAUCUUGGUGUAAAGCACAUAAAAUUUUGAUUUUUAAGGGAGUAUAAACUAGAUAAAU